GCUUGCUCCCGGAUGUUAGCGGCGGACGGGUGAGUAACACGUGGGUAACCUGCCUGUGAGACUGGGAUAACUCCGGGAAACCGGAGCUAAUACCGGAUAGUUCCUUGAACCGCAUGGUUCAAGGAUGAAAGACGGUUUCGGCUGUCACUUACAGAUGGACCCGCGGCGCAUUAGCUAGUUGGUGAGGUAACGGCUCACCAAGGCGACGAUGCGUAGCCGACCUGAGAGGGUGAUCGGCCACACUGGGACUGAGACACGGCCCAGACUCCUACGGGAGGCAGCAGUAGGGAAUCUUCCGCAAUGGACGAAAGUCUGACGGAGCAACGCCGCGUGAGUGAUGAAGGUUUUCGGAUCGUAAAGCUCUGUUGUUAGGGAAGAACAAGUGCAAGAGUAACUGCUUGCACCUUGACGGUACCUAACCAGAAAGCCACGGCUAACUACGUGCCAGCAGCCGCGGUAAUACGUAGGUGGCAAGCGUUGUCCGGAAUUAUUGGGCGUAAAGGGCUCGCAGGCGGUUUCUUAAGUCUGAUGUGAAAGCCCCCGGCUCAACCGGGGAGGGUCAUUGGAAACUGGGAAACUUGAGUGCAGAAGAGGAGAGUGGAAUUCCACGUGUAGCGGUGAGAUGCGUAAACAUGUGGAGGAACACCAGUGGCGAAGGCGACUCUCUGGUCUGUAACUGACACUGAGGAGCGAACGCGUGGGGAGCGAACAGGAUUAGAUACCCUGGUAGUCCACGCCGUAUACGAUGAGUGCUAAGUGUUAGGGGGUUUCCGCCCCUUAGUGCUGCAGCUAACGCAUUAAGCACUCCGCCUGGGGAGUACUGUCGCAAGACUGAGACUCAAGGAGUUGACGGGGGCCCGGCACAAGCGGUGGAGCAUGUGGUAUAAUUCGAAGCAACGCGACGAACCAUUACCAGGUCGUGACAUGCCUCUGACACCCUAAAGAUGGGGCUUGUCCCCUUCGUGGACAGAGUGACAGGUGUGGUUGCAUGGCUGUUCGUCGCUCG
RNAcentral lists this ribosomal RNA (1006 nucleotides) under Bacillus sp. (in: firmicutes). Its description in RNAcentral is "bacterial SSU rRNA". It matches the Rfam family "Bacterial small subunit ribosomal RNA", at positions 78 to 1062 of the family's 1533-position model. The record is from RNAcentral. Lineage: Bacteria; Bacillati; Bacillota; Bacilli; Caryophanales; Bacillaceae.